This 447-nucleotide ribosomal RNA is filed under the name uncultured bacterium. Its description in RNAcentral is "partial 16S ribosomal RNA". It matches the Rfam family "Bacterial small subunit ribosomal RNA", at positions 29 to 523 of the family's 1533-position model. The record is from RNAcentral.
AGCGAACGCUGGCGGCAAGCUUAACACAUGCAAGUCGAACGCCCAGCAAUGGGAGUGGCGGACGGGUGUAUAACACGUGGGAAUCUACCUUUCAGUACGGAAUAACUCAGGGAAACUUGUGCUAAUACCGUAUAAUGUCUCCGGACCAAAGAUUUAUCGCUGAAAGAUGAGCCCGCGGCAGAUUAGCUAGUUGGUGGGGUAAUGGCCUACCAAGGCAACGAUCUGUAGCUGGUCUGAGAGGAUGAUCAGCCACACUGGGACUGAGACACGGCCCAGACUCCUACGGGAGGCAGCAGUGGGGAAUAUUGGACAAUGGGCGCAAGCCUGAUCCAGCUAUGCCGCGUGAAUGAUGAAGGCCUUCGGGUUGUAAAGUUCUUUUAGGUGGGAAGAUUAUGACGGUACCACCAGAAAAAGCUCCGGCUAACUUCGUGCCAGCAGCCGCCGUAA